This is a long non-coding RNA of Triticum dicoccoides, 1108 nucleotides long. RefSeq lists it as uncharacterized. The transcript has 3 exons. The record is from RefSeq and is a predicted model, not a curated record. Lineage: Eukaryota; Viridiplantae; Streptophyta; Magnoliopsida; Poales; Poaceae.
UGUUCUUUGGAUUAUCAUAGCAUACUCGUCUCUUCUAAUCCUAGCAAGGGCAUUCUUCAUGUUUACAGAUAGUUUGGCGCUCUCAUGGUUCUUUUCGAGAGAUUAUUCUUCCGAGCAUUAUUUGGUAACCAUCUACUGUAGAUCAUCUAUUGCCCUUAUGACCUGAGCCCGCAGGAAUCGAUGCUGCUGCGCGACGUGGGGCCCAUGCCCGACCCCGACGACGGCGGUCGACCACAACCUCCCUCUCCGGAGAAGCUCAGGCUGCCACCACACAAAGGGAGAGGAUCCCAAGAUGAAUCUAUCCCUCCUUACUAUCAAUGACCCAACGACAGAGACAGCUACUUCGAGUCUAGGUGAGUAGCCGCCAGCCCUGCAUUUCGAGCCUAGGUAACCAAGUUUGUGUCUACUUCUAUGAUUAGUUGCUUAUGCUUCAUGGUCUUUGUGAAACACAACAUGAUGCCUUGUUGGUUUCCUGGGCAAGGCCUUUUGGGACCGAUCUCUCUAGCGUUAAAGAAAGCAAGAUUGAUGCUCUGUUUUCUCUAUUUUUGUUGGGUUGGAGCAGAGUGGGUUACCGAUCCCAUAUGCCAGUAUAUAGGAAGAACAAAAAACUUUAGUUGAUUUACCUUUUAACCUAAAUUUAUAUAGGAAACUUAUACUAACCUUUAUCUCGGUUAGUUGCACCAGCUUGCAUGUAUUUCAGUUGUGGCUCCUUUAUUCUAAGUUAGCUGCAUCAGCUUGCAGUUAUUAGUGUUCUUCCAUGCCUACUUACAUGAGUGUGUCACUUAUAUUGUUUAUGGUGUAUGCCACCUGAUCAUUGUACAACCAUUGUUGCCUAUCAAUAAAUUUUGGGGUAAUGGAGACAUUGAUCGUCUUUCUCGGACAAUAUAUGGUUUGACUUCUUGUUGUUACAUUUUUGUUUGCGUCAGAAUUAUAACAUGUAUUUGCUUAUUGCAACAGGUAGAUUAUUUACCCCCUAAUUCCCUUUACUUUUGUUUGAUACUAUGUACAUAUCAAUGUUUAGUCACUUGAAUUCAGAACAAAGAUAUGAUACACCGGACACGAAAGAAAGGAGUAGAUAGAUAUACAGAUUCAGAUGAUAUAGUUUCUG